AGGCCUCAUCAGACACAUUUCUCAGAAUGGGGUUCCCUGCUCAGCUCCUGGGGCUGCUGAUGCUCUGGAUCCCUGGAUCCGGUGGGGACAUUGUGUUGACGCAGACCCCACUCUCCCUGCCUGUCAGCCCCGGAGAGCCAGCCUCCAUCUCCUGCAGGUCUAGUCAGAGCCUCCCACACAGUGAUGGAAAAACCUAUUUUGAUUGGUUCCUCCAGAAGCCAGGCCAGUCUCCAAAGCGCCUGGUUUAUUGGGUUUCCAACAGGGAGUCCGGGGUCCCAGACAGGUUCAGGGGCAGUGGAUCAGGGACAGAUUUCACUCUCAGGAUCAGCAGGGUGCAGGCUGAUGAUGCUGGAGUUUAUUUCUGUGUACAAGCUACACAACUUCCUCCCACAAUGAUACAGCCCUGA
Non-coding RNA from Manis pentadactyla (Chinese pangolin), 407 nucleotides. The record is from the annotation of a RefSeq genome assembly. Lineage: Eukaryota; Metazoa; Chordata; Mammalia; Pholidota; Manidae.